GCGAGGAUAGCUCAGUUG
This 18-nucleotide microRNA is filed under the name Zea mays. RNAcentral's name for it is "microRNA miR-3046". Lineage: Eukaryota; Viridiplantae; Streptophyta; Magnoliopsida; Poales; Poaceae. The record is from RNAcentral.